GGCAACCACUUCAACAGUUUGCUGAUGGGAUGGCAAUGCGGAAGGGUUUGACAUCGAAAGCCAGCAACAAGUUGGUGAUCACCUCCGUUGCCUUUCAAGACCACAUCACACGCAGCCUGCUUCAUCCAGAUGUCAAAUUCUCUGACCCUUUGCUGAAAUGCAAAAGAAAAUCACCCAGAAAAAGAGUGGAGAAGAGGGGAUUGGAGACACAAAAUCAGCAAGAAGACAAAGAAUAUGUGCUUGAUCCUGCUCCACCUCCUUUAACAUUAGCUCAGAAGUUGGGUUUGGUGGCCUCGCCUGCAGGGAGACUGACAGAGGACGAAUGGACUCAGGUCAAGACGAGGUCUGUUCAGCAGGGGGACUCAGCUCAGCCCUGUGCAGUAUGCAGGGAGGAGUUUUGCCUUCAGCCUCAGGUGUUGCUGUCUUGUUCACACGUUUUCCACAGAGCAUGUUUGCACGCCUUUGAAAGAUUUUCUGGGAGGAAGUGCUGCCCGAUGUGCAGAAAGGAGCAGUAUGAGACACGGGUGAUCCACGAUGCAGCUCGCCUCUUCAGACACCAGUGUGCCACCAGAAUUCAAGCAUGCUGGCGGGGCUAUGCUGCUCGAAAAAGAUACAGAAAAUUGAGAAAAUCCAUCUGCCCAAAAGACAAACAACUGCGACGGAAAUUCUUCGAAGCAAAGUUGCAGGAGUUGAAUGACAGCUUUGUCCGAUACUGUCACACCGACACGGAGGCUUUUCUGAGUGAUAUCAACCGCUCCCUGUCAUCAAGCAGACGAGUGUUCCAGCAGCUGGAGAGAAAGCACGUCUCCGAGCCUCAGGAGAGCGACUGGGACCGAAUACAGAGCCAGGUUAUCCAGAGAGACGUCUGGGACUGCCCCAUCUGCCUGACUGCGUUGUGCAGCCCGAGCCUCCUGACAGCAGCGGGUACAUCCGGUCAUCAACAACGCAGACGCACUGUGCUACUGUCCUGUUCCCACGUCUUCCAUCAGCGCUGUCUGGAGUCCUUUGAGGCCUUUUCUACGGAGAGCAGACCCUCUUGUCCCCUGUGCAGAUCUGUCUACCACAAAAAACUCAUCUAAACAGUUGGGGGCCAUGGCUUUGACCAAGAGACUGCCACUAUUUGCCACAGAAGAAACAAGGUUUUGGUGCCUUCACCGCAGGCUGUUGACUGACAUGGGAGGAUCUCCGGC
RNA transcript from Plectropomus leopardus (leopard coralgrouper), 1190 nucleotides. It is a transcript of the gene named ring finger protein 32, with no coding region annotated. The record is from RefSeq and is a predicted model, not a curated record. Lineage: Eukaryota; Metazoa; Chordata; Actinopteri; Perciformes; Serranidae.